Molecule: long non-coding RNA, 1019 nt
Organism: Mesocricetus auratus (golden hamster)
Lineage: Eukaryota; Metazoa; Chordata; Mammalia; Rodentia; Cricetidae
Exons: 3
Source: RefSeq, a predicted model, not a curated record
GCCACAGCGGAACCGUUUGCUUCAGCUGUCGUGUUUAUCAGGUCACUGGAUGGUGGAUUUCAAUGUGUGUUCAACUCUCUUGAGAAGCUCAGCCAACGUGUGCCAAGUGGCUUCGCUACAAUUGAGCAAUUCAGUAAUUCCAGCCACAGCGAUGGUUUCAUCCUAAGAGUUUUGAUUGCGAUGGUCAGGUGGUUUCUUUCUUCUCGAAUCUUCUUUUAGUUUUAACGCUGUUCCUGUUCUACUUUCAGAUAAUUAUCAGAAGAAAUUGAAGCGAAAGUCUAUUAUGACUUGAGAUAAAGUUAAUUCUGAGAUGCAUGCCAAGGACUCACAAAUACUUACUUGAAGGUUCUCAAGAAGGUGUCAAAUGAGGUUGCUUCUCAUUAAUUGAUCAUUCAUGGAGGAGGAAGCAAGCCGGAAAAUUAUAGUAAUGAAAGAGGGUUCUUUCACUGCAAACUGUUCACAGCCUUUUAAUUAAACAAAUUGGAAGCAGUGUUAAGUGACAAGAGAAUGGAAAGAAAAGAGUCAAAGAUGCCUUGUGUUGAACCAUGGAGCACUCCACAUACUUCACUUGGCCAGCACCCAGCCUCUGAACUCCAUCAGCCUGCUGCAUUGUUGCUGAUUCCUGCUGACCUAGACAACUAAGUUCACACUUCCUCUCUCUUCCUUCACCUUACCUAUUAAUAGACUGUGCUUUGGGGGUUCAAAUACUGGAAUUUGUAGAGUGAUAGAAUUCAACUUGCCAAAUAUCUAAUUAUAUUUAACAUGAGACUAACACCUGACAGUCUAUUUUUCCUUCUAAACCUGUUCUCUUCCUUUGACGAAGCUAAAACAGAGAAUUUGCUAGAUUAUAAGAACUGAAGUUUUAUAUGAAAUUUAUAGAUUAUAAAAUGUGCUGGUGCUUUUAUCCACUGCUAAGGAAACAAUAGCAUUUACCCGUAUUUGUAAUACAUGCUGAAUAAUUACUUAUAAUGUCUACCUCAUCUUUUUUGAAAUGCUUAUUUCGGUUUUAAUGUUUUUAC